AGUAUUGUGGCCGAGCGGUCUAAGGCGUUAGGUUCAAGCUCUAAUCACAUUGUGGUCGCGGGUUCGAAUCCCGUCAAUACUA
RNAcentral lists this transfer RNA (82 nucleotides) under Enterospora canceri. It matches the Rfam family "tRNA". From Rfam's summary of the family: Transfer RNA (tRNA) molecules are approximately 80 nucleotides in length. Their secondary structure includes four short double-helical elements and three loops (D, anti-codon, and T loops). Lineage: Eukaryota; Fungi; Microsporidia; Enterocytozoonidae. The record is from Rfam by way of RNAcentral.